Molecule: ribosomal RNA, 236 nt
Filed under: uncultured bacterium
Lineage: Bacteria
Description: partial 16S ribosomal RNA
Rfam family: Bacterial small subunit ribosomal RNA
Source: RNAcentral
UACGUAGGGUGCAAGCGUUAAUCGGAAUUACUGGGCGUAAAGCGUGCGCAGGCGGUUUUGUAAGUCUGUCGUGAAAUCCCCGGGCUCAACCUGGGAAUUGCGAUGGAGACUGCAAGGCUAGAAUCUGGCAGAGGGGGGUAGAAUUCCACGUGUGAGCAGUGAAAUGCGUAGAGAUGUGGAGGAACGACCGAUGGCGAAGGCAGCCCCCUGGGUCAAGAUUGACGCUCAUGCACGAA